This is a long non-coding RNA of Solanum pennellii, 976 nucleotides long. RefSeq lists it as uncharacterized. Lineage: Eukaryota; Viridiplantae; Streptophyta; Magnoliopsida; Solanales; Solanaceae. The record is from RefSeq and is a predicted model, not a curated record. The transcript is spliced from 2 exons.
UAUAAUGAUCAGAUGUAACUAACUCAAUACAAAUUACAUUUUACUUUACAUUGUUUGUUUUCCUUUUCCUCUCAAUACGUGAAUCUAGAAUCUCCAUUGAAGGAGUUAACAAUCAUGAAUUUUGAGUGAAUAAAAGUUUGAAGCUUAACCAUUUGACUAAUUCAUAUUUUAUCCAUAUUUUUAUGGGUCAAAUAUGGGUGUCAAUACAUAUUUUACCCAUAUAAAAAUCAUUCCCCCAACCCAUUAAAAUAUUGGCGGGUCAACAAAAUAUGAGCUCAUUUUGUCGGCACUAGUUUGAGGUUAUGGUCAUUCUUCUCUUGACCUCUAACUACUUCAUGAUUUGAGAAGGAUGAUAUACUUAUAUCCCUGCACUCCAUGAGAGUAUCUGUCAUGAUGUCAUCCUUCACCAUAUUUGUCCAUGGUAAAGACUGCGAAGAUCGAUCCAUGAAGGCCAAAUCAAGGAUUAGUGUCUCUCUCAGAAAUCUUUCACAAGCAAUGUCCUUAAAAGACAUAGCAAGGACUUGAGAUAUUUGCACUCACGUGGUAAUUUCUGAGUAUGCACAGCAAAGUGGGAGGAACUUUCAGCUCAAAUUACGGGUGGUUCUUGGGAGAAUUGUUUGAGUGCAGUAUGAUCAAACACAAUCCGAUGAGCCAAGUCAUGAGAUUGCCUUGAUUCACCCUUCGACUGCUGCCUCCUAUUUAAUGGAGGUGAAUACACAUCUUUUGGGUGCACACAUGUUAAACUCAAAUGAAAAAGAAUACAGGUCAUCUAGUAUGCCUGCAGUGAACCAGUAGCCUAAUUUGACGAUAAAUCAUACCUUAUGCACCGUUAUACAUGCACUUUGCGUAAAAGUCUGUCAAGUGGAAGUAAAUUUAUAGUUCUUGCUAUAGUUAACUGUGUAUAAAUCCUCCCAAUCCCUUUUUGCGUUUCUGCCCAGAAAGUUUGUAGAGUGGCUAGAGGUUGAAGUUUUUGGGA